CGGGUGGCAGCAGUGGGGAAUAUUGCACAAUGGAGGGAACUCUGAUGCAGCGACGCCGCGUGAACGAUGAAGGCUUUCGAGUCGUAAAGUUCUUUUAUAUGGGAAGAUAAUGACGGUACCAUAAGAAAAAGCCCCGGCUAACUACGUGCCAGCAGCCGCGGUAAUACGUAGGGGGCUAGCGUUGUCCGGAAUCACUGGGCGUAAAGGGUUCGCAGGCGGAAAUGCAAGUCAGAUGUAAAAGGCAGUAGCUUAACUACUGUAAGCAUUUGAAACUGCAUAUCUUGAGAAGAGUAGAGGUAAGUGGAAUUUUUAGUGUAGCGGUGAAAUGCGUAGAUAUUAAAAAGAAUACCGGUGGCGAAGGCGACUUACUGGGCUCAUUCUGACGCUGAGGAACGAAAGCGUGGGUAGCAAACAGGAUUAGAUACCCGGGU
RNAcentral lists this ribosomal RNA (431 nucleotides) under uncultured Peptoniphilus sp. RNAcentral's name for it is "bacterial SSU rRNA". It matches the Rfam family "Bacterial small subunit ribosomal RNA", at positions 342 to 791 of the family's 1533-position model. The record is from RNAcentral. Lineage: Bacteria; Bacillati; Bacillota; Tissierellia; Tissierellales; Peptoniphilaceae.